RNAcentral lists this long non-coding RNA (1260 nucleotides) under Linum usitatissimum (flax). RNAcentral describes it as "long non-coding RNA (LUSI_LNC007773)". The record is from RNAcentral. Lineage: Eukaryota; Viridiplantae; Streptophyta; Magnoliopsida; Malpighiales; Linaceae.
GGUUGUUAAGAUGGAGUUUGCAAUGAGAAGUUGAGUAAACAAAUAUUUUGACUCAAAAUUUAUUAUCAUUCCAUACUAACCCACUUAAAUCUACUUAUACCUUGCUAUUACCCACACGCAUCCAUCCACCAUCAAUAAAUAAGUGAUUGUGGGUCGUCCAAACAGUCAUAAUUAGCAGAUAUGUUGAUUUUAUAGACGAGUCUAGUGUUAGUACUGUUAGUUACAACCGACAGUUUCAAGUCGUUACAGAGCUGCUAUACAAUUCAGUUACACGUGUUAAUAAUGUGGGCUUACAUUCUGUAACCAAAAAAAUAAAUAAUACAUUCGAUUCUUCUAUUCAAUACAAUUUUCUCUUCUUUCCUUCAAUUAUAUUGUUCACAAUUCUUCAGAGUUGCUCUUAUGAUGAAUCUUCUGGAACAAUGAAGGCUAAACUUGAGGAAGGGACGUGUAUGUAUAUCAACAGGUUUCCGGUGGCGCCAUGCAGUCCGCACAAACCCUAAGCAAGGUGCGGAUAGGAAAUUCGGAAAGCUGCUGACUGUUGGGGCUUCGAAUCCCAACCUUUUCUAGCAAGCCUAUGAAUUAGUCCAUUCCAAAAGAAAAAUAAGAAAUACAGGUCACCUGAAAUGCCGAUGACCAUCAUUCCAUGAAAUUAAUGGCAGUCGAGGAGUCCAUCCUCCAUUCUCCCCUUUCUCUGAUGCUCUCAGUCUCAGGAGUUUAGUCCUCAUCUGGCCAUUAAUAGAUACCAGAUCUACCCGUCUUUGGAGGUUCACCAAAAAGUUUAUUUGCCGUUGGAGAGGAAUUCUUCAAUCGUCACAUUCAUUCAUACCCACAAACAUUAAAAUUCUAUUUUUUUAGAUCUUUAGAGGAAGAGAAAAGUGGAAGAUAAGAAAAUUAAAAAAUGAACGAGAGAGAUAAUGAACAGAGAAAUGAAGGGGAGAAGAGACAAAAUGUUUUUUGUAGAUUUGUAGGUGUAGUGGGUUUUGAAAUUUAAAUUUAAAUUUUUGAUGUAAAUUUUGUCUAAAUAGGUUCCAUCAAUCUUUAGCUAUUGGAUUGAAAAUAUUGGUUGAAGUUGAUUUUUGGCCGUUGGAUUGAUAUCUAUCCGCUGAGCGGAUAGCAUGUGACAUCCACCAAAUAGCAAAGUUGAUGAAUUAUAUGGACCCGCACCAUAUUUAUUCUCAGGGCCUACUAACAAAGCCUUCCUUCCUGCAUCAUGAGAAUAACAAUAUACAUUUAGCCUCGCUCAAAAUUAACUCGUUUUGA